AAAAACUUUGACAUGAAUUCCAUUCUUCUCAGGUAAAAAGGGCUCUUCACAAUCUAGUAGUCAGGAAUGAAUCCCUUCAAGUCCGUAUGUAUCUGAGUGUCAAACUACUGAUGGCAACGUGUGCUCAAGUACAUGUUCCCCCGACAUGGUCACUUAAUGUGCCUGUGAUUUUCCUAAGACCUGAAGGAGACCUACAAAAUGAACAGGGCAUGACAAUGACCUGAGUUCACAGGAAUCUCUGAAUUCAAGAGAUUGCUGUAGCUUUGCUAAGACUGCAUCAAAAGCCUUGUGUAGCAGGGUUUCCUAGUGAGUCACGCACUUGGCCAUGGAGUCUUGGUUUUUUAAACAUUAAGAAGUGCUUUAUGUUGUGCAAAUUCAGUGAAAGGCCAAAAUAGCCAACAGUACUAACGGUGCUCAGUCAAACCCAUAGUGAGCCACAGACCCCAUCAUCUUACAAAGAAACGAGGAGGCGAGAUACACAACUGGCCGACUUUGCUCCAGUUUGACAGUGACUACUGGGAAGCUGAGACCUUCCCUGCAGGACGCGCAGAGACGGUGCUGUAGUGGAGCCUAUGGGAGCCACUGGGAGUGAGGCUGGGUGUGACAGAGGCCACUUGUCCCCUCCAAGUACCUGCUCGGUGCCAGUCCAAGGUACAGAAAUCAGGCAGGGUAGUAGGUUUGCUUCUCAGUCAUUUUUCCAAAUUCUGAACCUCAACUUGUUUGCAAAUUACCCAGAGGUCACGUUUGACCCAGUCACUGAGCAGCACAGAGAAGGGCCGUCGGGGUCGCCCCACGCAAGGUACGUACACGCCGGGGUGUUAACACGGGCCGGGGAGUGACACUCGUCCACUCACCUCGGAUGACUGGUGCACCCUCUUCCACUUUGUGCCCCUCAGAUGAAAAUCACUGUGGUAACAAUUACAGCUGAGGAAAGCCCAGCGCCUCAGAGCCCCGACUUACUGUGCCUGUAUCACGAUGGUUUCUCAAGCACUUUUAAAAAUCCAAUGUUAGUGGCAUUCCAUCCCUUUGUGGAUAUAAACUGUUUGGCACACAAUGUCUGUACAUUGAAGACAGCUGUCAUACUCCCUACUCCAAAGACAUUAAUUUUCUAAUAAAGUAAGUGAAAUGUGCCCAUUAUGAAGCACUCCGUGUCAAGUCUAGAAAAACUUCAUUAGAAAACUGAACUACUGUUAUUUAUGUGAAAGCACGAGAAGAAACACUGAAGUAUGCCACAGUGUCUAUUCAUCUGAAGAGUACAAAGAUGGAGUUUGAGAA
Long non-coding RNA from Otolemur garnettii (small-eared galago), 1275 nucleotides. RefSeq lists it as uncharacterized. The transcript has 3 exons. The record is from RefSeq and is a predicted model, not a curated record. Lineage: Eukaryota; Metazoa; Chordata; Mammalia; Primates; Galagidae.